This 2816-nucleotide ribosomal RNA is filed under the name Klebsiella pneumoniae. Its description in RNAcentral is "bacterial LSU rRNA". It matches the Rfam family "Bacterial large subunit ribosomal RNA". The record is from RNAcentral. Lineage: Bacteria; Pseudomonadati; Pseudomonadota; Gammaproteobacteria; Enterobacterales; Enterobacteriaceae.
CCUUUGCCGGCGAUGUCCGAAUGGGGAAACCCAGUGCAAUUCGUUGCACUAUCGUUAACUGAAUACAUAGGUUAACGAGGCGAACCGGGGGAACUGAAACAUCUAAGUACCCCGAGGAAAAGAAAUCAACCGAGAUUCCCCCAGUAGCGGCGAGCGAACGGGGAGCAGCCCAGAGUCUGAAUCAGCUUGUGUGUUAGUGGAACGGUCUGGAAAGUCCGACGGUACAGGGUGAUAGUCCCGUACACCAAAAUGCACAGGCUGUGAACUCGAAGAGUAGGGCGGGACACGUGGUAUCCUGUCUGAAUAUGGGGGGACCAUCCUCCAAGGCUAAAUACUCCUGACUGACCGAUAGUGAACCAGUACCGUGAGGGAAAGGCGAAAAGAACCCCGGCGAGGGGAGUGAAAAAGAACCUGAAACCGUGUACGUACAAGCAGUGGGAGCACCUUCGGGUGUGACUGCGUACCUUUUGUAUAAUGGGUCAGCGACUUAUAUUCUGUAGCAAGGUUAACCGUAUAGGGGAGCCGCAGGGAAACCGAGUCUUAACUGGGCGUUAAGUUGCAGGGUAUAGACCCGAAACCCGGUGAUCUAGCCAUGGGCAGGUUGAAGGUUGGGUAACACUAACUGGAGGACCGAACCGACUAAUGUUGAAAAAUUAGCGGAUGACUUGUGGCUGGGGGUGAAAGGCCAAUCAAACCGGGAGAUAGCUGGUUCUCCCCGAAAGCUAUUUAGGUAGCGCCUCGUGAAUUCAUCUUCGGGGGUAGAGCACUGUUUCGGCUAGGGGGUCAUCCCGACUUACCAACCCGAUGCAAACUACGAAUACCGAAGAAUGUUAUCACGGGAGACACACGGCGGGUGCUAACGUCCGUCGUGAAGAGGGAAACAACCCAGACCGCCAGCUAAGGUCCCAAAGUCAUGGUUAAGUGGGAAACGAUGUGGGAAGGCACAGACAGCCAGGAUGUUGGCUUAGAAGCAGCCAUCAUUUAAAGAAAGCGUAAUAGCUCACUGGUCGAGUCGGCCUGCGCGGAAGAUGUAACGGGGCUAAACCAUGCACCGAAGCUGCGGCAGCGACACUAUGUGUUGUUGGGUAGGGGAGCGUUCUGUAAGCCUGCGAAGGUGUGCUGUGAGGCAUGCUGGAGGUAUCAGAAGUGCGAAUGCUGACAUAAGUAACGAUAAAGCGGGUGAAAAGCCCGCUCGCCGGAAGACCAAGGGUUCCUGUCCAACGUUAAUCGGGGCAGGGUGAGUCGACCCCUAAGGCGAGGCCGAAAGGCGUAGUCGAUGGGAAACAGGUUAAUAUUCCUGUACUUGGUGUUACUGCGAAGGGGGGACGGAGAAGGCUAUGUUAGCCGGGCGACGGUUGUCCCGGUUUAAGCAUGUAGGCUGGUUAUCCAGGCAAAUCCGGAUAAUCAAGGCUGAGGUGUGAUGACGAGGCACUACGGUGCUGAAGUAACAAAUGCCCUGCUUCCAGGAAAAGCCUCUAAGCAUCAGGUAACAUCAAAUCGUACCCCAAACCGACACAGGUGGUCAGGUAGAGAAUACCAAGGCGCUUGAGAGAACUCGGGUGAAGGAACUAGGCAAAAUGGUGCCGUAACUUCGGGAGAAGGCACGCUGGUGUGUAGGUGAAGCCCCUGCGGGUGGAGCUGAGACCAGUCGAAGAUACCAGCUGGCUGCAACUGUUUAUUAAAAACACAGCACUGUGCAAACACGAAAGUGGACGUAUACGGUGUGACGCCUGCCCGGUGCCGGAAGGUUAAUUGAUGGGGUUAUCCGUAAGGAGAAGCUCUUGAUCGAAGCCCCGGUAAACGGCGGCCGUAACUAUAACGGUCCUAAGGUAGCGAAAUUCCUUGUCGGGUAAGUUCCGACCUGCACGAAUGGCGUAAUGAUGGCCAGGCUGUCUCCACCCGAGACUCAGUGAAAUUGAACUCGCUGUGAAGAUGCAGUGUACCCGCGGCAAGACGGAAAGACCCCGUGAACCUUUACUAUAGCUUGACACUGAACAUUGAGCCUUGAUGUGUAGGAUAGGUGGGAGGCUUUGAAGCGUGGACGCCAGUCUGCGUGGAGCCAACCUUGAAAUACCACCCUUUAAUGUUUGAUGUUCUAACGUUGGCCCCUUACCGGGGUUGCGGACAGUGUCUGGUGGGUAGUUUGACUGGGGCGGUCUCCUCCCAAAGCGUAACGGAGGAGCACGAAGGUUAGCUAAUCCUGGUCGGACAUCAGGAGGUUAGUGCAAUGGCAUAAGCUAGCUUGACUGCGAGCGUGACGGCGCGAGCAGGUGCGAAAGCAGGUCAUAGUGAUCCGGUGGUUCUGAAUGGAAGGGCCAUCGCUCAACGGAUAAAAGGUACUCCGGGGAUAACAGGCUGAUACCGCCCAAGAGUUCAUAUCGACGGCGGUGUUUGGCACCUCGAUGUCGGCUCAUCACAUCCUGGGGCUGAAGUAGGUCCCAAGGGUAUGGCUGUUCGCCAUUUAAAGUGGUACGCGAGCUGGGUUUAGAACGUCGUGAGACAGUUCGGUCCCUAUCUGCCGUGGGCGCUGGAGAAUUGAGGGGGGCUGCUCCUAGUACGAGAGGACCGGAGUGGACGCAUCACUGGUGUUCGGGUUGUCAUGCCAAUGGCACUGCCCGGUAGCUAAAUGCGGAAGAGAUAAGUGCUGAAAGCAUCUAAGCACGAAACUUGCCCCGAGAUGAGUUCUCCCUGAGACUUUAAGUCUCCUGAAGGAACGUUAAAGACGAUGACGUUGAUAGGCCGGGUGUGUAAGCGCAGCGAUGCGUUGAGCUAACCGGUACUAAUGAACCGUGAGGCUUAACCUUACAACGCCGAAG